This 468-nucleotide ribosomal RNA is filed under the name uncultured bacterium. RNAcentral's name for it is "bacterial SSU rRNA". It matches the Rfam family "Bacterial small subunit ribosomal RNA", at positions 329 to 793 of the family's 1533-position model. The record is from RNAcentral.
UACCAGACUCCUACGGGAGGCAGCAGUGAGGAAUAUUGGUCAAUGGCCGCAGGGCUGAACCAGCCAAGUCGCGUGAGGGAAGACGGCCCUAUGGGUUGUAAACCUCUUUUGUCGGAGAACAAAACCCGGGACGUGUCCCGGACUGCGUGUAUCCGAAGAAAAAGCAUCGGCUAACUCCGUGCCAGCAGCCGCGGUAAUACGGAAGGUCCGGGCGUUAUCCGGAUUUAUUGGGUUUAAAGGGAGCGUAGGCCGGUCUUUAAGCGUGCCGUGAAAUUUUGUGGCUCAACCAUGAGAGUGCGGCGCGAACUGGAGACCUUGAGUGCGCGGAAGGCAGGCGGAAUUCGUGGUGUAGCGGUGAAAUGCUUAGAUAUCACGAAGAACCCCGAUUGCGAAGGCAGCCUGCCGCAGCGUUACUGACGCUGAAGCUCGAAAGCGCGGGUAUCGAACAGGAUUAGAUACCCUAGUACG